GUUUCACAAGAAUUGGUUAAUUGGUUACCUGCAGAGACCACAGGUCCAUCUUCUGAGGAUGUUAUCAGAAUAGAAGGGUAAGCAGAAACUGGACCAAAUGAAACAGAAACAGCAACUUCUGUAAGACGAUCAGAGAGGAUUAAUAAAAAGCAAACCUCCAGAAAGAUAUGGAUUCUGUGAAAACCUGCAUAUAAUAAAGUAACCAGCAAACUGGAAAGAGGCUUGUAAGACAAAACACAUCUCUUUUGCAAAGAUCUUCAGAACCAGGGAAAAUGUCAGGAUGGUAGAAUUAAGUUCCCCUGCACCAGAGGAGAGACAGCCAGUGAGUCUUGAUAACUCUUACUGGCUCAGAGCUGAAGAUUCACCUGCUGGAGAUUCUUGUCUGAGUCAUACCCUCAUUGCUGCAUAUUUCCUGGUACACCUCCUGGAGCCCUCUUCUGUGAUACACCUGGAGGCUGCUAAACCAGUACACCUGAUGACAUGACCUUUUUGAUGCCUACCAAGACAAGAGCCUACUACUGCUUUGAGCUGGUGCAUAUGAGUGCAGCCCAAUUGUCAAACAUGAACAUAAUCAGCUAUGGAACAGAAGCCAGAGUGAGAAACCUUAUUGGUAAAUGCUCCUCCAAAUGUUGAAAAUCACAUUAAUGGAGCUUGUUAAUUCAACACAAGAUGCUUUGCAUUGACAAGAUUUUUAAAUGUUGACUAAAAGUAUUGAUGAAAAUCAUAGAUAUUAUUCCUAAUGAUCUUUCCACAGCAAGUGUAUAUGAGAAAAAUAAAACUUAGUUUCUUUUAUUAAAAGCCCUGUGG
This 807-nucleotide long non-coding RNA is filed under the name Pogona vitticeps (central bearded dragon). RNAcentral's name for it is "lncRNA (ENSPVIG00000015201.1)". The record is from RNAcentral. Lineage: Eukaryota; Metazoa; Chordata; Lepidosauria; Squamata; Agamidae.